This 815-nucleotide small RNA is filed under the name Pongo abelii (Sumatran orangutan). RNAcentral's name for it is "processed transcript". Lineage: Eukaryota; Metazoa; Chordata; Mammalia; Primates; Hominidae. The record is from RNAcentral.
GGAAGAGGAGGAAGGAGGGCGAGCGAGGAGGAUGGCGGACUCGGGACUCCUGACGGAAACCUGUCCAGUUUAAGUCGUCUUGGUCUGAGAUAUAACAGACUGUCAGCAAUACCCAGAUCAUUAGCAAAAUGCAGUGCACUUGAAGAAUUAAAUUUAGAGAACAAUAACAUUUCUACUUUACCAGAGAGUCUUUUAUCAAGUCUUGUGAAACUGAAUAGUUUGACCUUAGCUAGAAAUUGCUUCCAGUUAUAUCCAGUGGGUGGUCCAUCUCAGUUUUCUACCAUCUAUUCCCUCAACAUGGAACACAAUCGAAUAAAUAAAAUUCCAUUUGGAAUUUUCUCCAGAGCAAAAGUAUUAAGUAAGCUGAAUAUGAAGGACAAUCAGUUAACAUCACUUCCCUUGGAUUUUGGAACUUGGACCAGUAUGGUAGAAUUAAAUUUAGCCACUAAUCAGCUCACAAAGAUCCCUGAGGAUGUGUCUGGUCUCGUUUCUCUUGAGGUUCUUAUCUUAUCAAACAAUCUUCUAAAGAAGCUUCCCCAUGGUCUUGGAAACCUUAGGAAGUUAAGAGAGUUGGAUCUAGAAGAGAACAAAUUGGAAUCCUUGCCAAAUGAAAUUGCAUAUCUUAAGGAUUUACAGAAAUUAGUCUUGACAAACAACCAGUUGACCACUCUUCCCAGAGGCAUUGGUCACCUUACUAAUCUCACACAUCUGGGCCUUGGAGAGAACCUACUUACUCACCUUCCUGAAGAAAUUGGUACACUGGAGAACCUAGAAGAACUGUAUUUGAAUGACAACCCCAACCUGCAUAGCCUUCC